AUGGAACGGGCAGAGAUGGCAAAUGCCCCGUUCCCUGCCGAUGGCAAACGCCCCGUUCCCUGGGCUGGAGCGGCUCUGGGAAGGACAGUGCCAGGAACAGGUGCUCCCUGGCUGCAGGACUGCACAAGGAUGCAGGUCUCCAAGCUCAUCCCCAUCCUUUCCUCUCCUCUCCAAGCAGCAAAUAAACCUCUGACCACCCUGGAAGAAAAUGAUGUGCAUACCUGUAAUGCUUGGCAGGGUCGGGGUGGGUGGUGGGAUGCACAGACCUGCCCCUGUAGCUUCCAGGGACUGCUUUGCAAGUCCACCAUUUCUCUAAGGAACAGCUUAACUGAAAGCACAAAAGCUUCAAAAAUUAAUAUUCCUGUGUAAAUAAUUGCAGUAACAUAACCCUGAAGUUGUGCUUAUGAAACAUUUAACUCACCAAAGUUUUGCAAGUGUUCAUUCUUCUUUUUCCAUUUUUCUGGAAAUGGUGAUGCAUGUGAACUACAGUUCACUUCUCAACCUCCUGGUAUUUUUUUUCUACAUUUCAGUGUUCUAUCAUCCCCAAAAAUUCUUGACUGGAGUCAGUGAGUUUCAAAAUUAAUAAGAGGCAUGUAUUAGGAAAGGUCACAUUAACUUUUUGGGCAUUGGGCCAGGACUAUUCAACAGUUAAAAAUUUAAACAUUUUCUCAGUUACUUAAACUCAUUAUAAAGUUAAAACAGCAGAAAAAAAUUAAAGAGAGAGAAGGCAUAUUUUGACUGAAAAAAGAACCUGUAAUUUUCUUGGAUGAGUUUUACUUUUCCUUUGAGCCUAAUGCAUGUCUGCUCAGCACCAGCAAUACUUUUAUUGACUUCACUGGGACCUGAUCGAGUCCUGGAUCUGCAAACAUGUCUGGGUCCAAACUCCCAGAUACCCCUGGGAGAGGUGCUAGAGAUGAGAUCUGGGAUAAGGAACGUAUUCUGGAUAACAACCUCAGCACAUCUCAUUAAAGAAGUGUUAGUUUGUCAAUGAAAGGGGAUAUGGUGCACAAGAGGCCAGUGUAAUGUUCUCCCAGGCUACAGCCUAAUUCCAACUGUCCAGCCAUAUAAUCUUGGAAAAACAGGAAUGCUUAGAUAGGCUGGUGAUAAUUAAAUGGUGUGUCCCACUGCUCAUCUCUGGAGUUGUCUUUGAUUUCCCAAGUGACAGAAGAAGUUGGCUGGGCUGCUCUGUUACACCAAGCAAGGAUCCAGGCUUUCCAGGAAGGUACAAAUUAUUUUGUACAAAUAACCCCACAGAUUAGGAAAUCUGUCCUGUUUACAUCUCUAAACUGCAAUAACUCAGCACAGCAGUGCUGAGAACAUCUUUUAUUCUGAGAGCCUGGAAGUGUAAGGAUAAAUCACUGGAAUGAAUCAUCUCUUUCCUCGCAGUUUUGCCCUCUUAGCCUCUUUUCACAGUUAGACCACUGCCUUUAAACAAGAAAUCCGGUUAGCAUGUCUCAAGUUGUGGAUGACACUAAAUCCUUGUCAAGCAGUUCUGACCUGGAAAUCUCAAGGCUGACCUUUCCCUUCUGAGAGACAGAGAGACACAAAUCCUCAAUUAGCUUUGAGGCACAACACAAGUCUUAUACACUUUGGAUCAAAUUCAAUCCUGAUGAAAGAAGAUGCAAUCCUCUGGAGUCUCUGGGAGCUACAAGCUGUCAUUAAAGUUGUGUUUCACCCCUGAGUUUUUCCAUGAAACCCUUUAGGAUCCUGCAGAUUACAGCCUGGGUAGCAGGGGAUUCCUGAUCCUAUAGUGUUUUAGUCACAUAAGAAACUUUGCUCUAAGCAUUAUAAACACUCACAUGAAUAAGGAGCUUGAGAGAUAUGGAGAUACUGGAAAAGUUGGUAAUGAUUUUAUCCAGGUGUCCUCCCAGUUUUUGAUAGAAGGGUCCUGUUUUACAUCACCUCUUUUUCAAUGCUCAGGCACAUUAGAAGGGGUUAGAAAACCACAAAUCAAAGAUCUGCCUAUCAGUCAGGGCCCAGCAGGGAUGUCCCACCCAGCAGCACCUGUUUUCACCAUUAAUUGAACUCCUCCUUCUUGGAAAUUAAAAUAAUUCUGUUCAGUUUUCAUUGUUUUGGUAUUUUCUAAGUCAUUGCACAGGGAAGAUGGCAAUUACUGUGGGAAGUAACAUUUGUUCUGUAAAAUUACAAGGAGGCCGAAUCAAACCCAAGAAAUUUGCCUGCUCAACACAUUCUAAAUACAAAAAAAAAAAAAAAAUCAUCAUUUGAUAGGCUUGUGAUCAACAUAGGGCUAUAGUAGGAAUGGACCCAGGUUUGGGUAAGAUCCUAUUCAAAAAAUAUACCUGUAGGAACACAAUUCUUAACAUGGGACAGCUUUGUCCCUCCUGAGGAUCUCUCUUCUGCUAACUCUAUAGGAAAUUUUAAUAUGAUGAUGAUCAGAGGGAUGGAGCAGCUCUGCUAACAAGGAAAAGGUGAGAAAACUGAGAUUGUUCAGCCUGAAGAGAAAAGACUUUGGGGGGCUCUAAUGCAGACUUCCAGUUGUUGAAGGGAACCUGGAGGAAAGAUGGAGCAAGAUUAUUUGUAAGAGCCUGUAAUGACAGGACAAGGGGGAAUGGCUUCAAAUCAAAAGUGAGGAUGUUUAGAUUAGA
Molecule: long non-coding RNA, 2606 nt
Organism: Taeniopygia guttata (zebra finch)
Lineage: Eukaryota; Metazoa; Chordata; Aves; Passeriformes; Estrildidae
Source: Ensembl